AGACAGGACGUAGCUCAGCUCUGUGCUGGCCCCUGCAGGCUUCAGCCCAAGUUUCAGUGGGUCCUGAAUACCUGACCUGAAUUAGCCACAAGCCCCAGCUUCACCACAGGAAAAUGGAGAGGAGGAGACUGCAUCUUCGGGUGUGCCACCAUCUCCGCCGCAUCAAGCACAUCUCAAGUUCAACAACGGACCUGCACAGCUAGUGACCAGUGGCCACAGUGACUGAGGGCGGUGGUCUGGGAGCUCAGGUCUACACUAGCACACAACAUCCAAAGUCAGAACAGAAAAGCUGUCCUGCAUUUCUUCAACUCAAGUCAUCAUUAAUACUUAAAAAAGAAUCAAUGGGCUUAUUUAAAACCCAAAUGCGUUGUGGUUCCCAGUUUUACAGGGAGAAGCUCUAGGUCAGACUCAGCAGAUAGGCUUUAGACAACACUAACAGGAGUGAACAUUUUAUGAGAGCUGCCACAUACCACGCCGGCACAUCUCCAAGCAGGCAUCCAUGUCAAUGACAACAUGAACUAGGUGAUAAUGACGAUAGAAAUGAGGACUAGCAACCAAACAUAGUACUGGUUCUGCUACACGCAGCCCCAAUCAUCUUCAGAAACAAAUGCAAUCAAAAGGCUGAAAAACACACGCACUGCUACAGAGCUAGAAGUAGCUGGCGUCAGAAUGGAAGCCCAGUUCCGGCUGAUUCAAAGUGCUUGCCAUUUCAGCAUGCUGCACUGCUUCAUUUAGAACUUCCUGAAAUAGAGAGGAUUUCCAUUCAGGAAUAAAGCUCCUUACAAAGCCACCUGUAGAGGAUAAAGUCCUCUCUGUACAAAAAUCACCUGCUCCACAGCAGAAAAUGUCUCGAUACACAUCACACUGGUGCGGAUUUGUUUAAAGCACUGGAUAAUGAUUACAAGUGAAACGGAUAUUUCAAACACGGAAGAAUUCCAUGUGUACAGCACGGAUUGAUAUCUGGGCUAAUUUUUAAGCUACAAAGUAGCACCUGCUGGCUUCUAAUUAUAAGCAAGCGUUUUGUGAAUAGCUGGGAGUAGGAGAGACUCAAACCGCAUGUACAAUGAGCACCCACCGAAAGCUCAUUUCAAGUACAAUCCAUCAUCUGUGUCCAACAUGACAGGGAACUGGGCAGCACACACGCUCCGUCAGAUGCUGUGAUUAAAGGGAGGGACACUGCGGCUUGUCACGUGACUGCACAAGGCUCUCACCACCUGCUGUUAAUAACUGACACGCAAUCUGAGCCUGCUUUAUAAGAAUGAAGGGACAGGCUACACAUUCUCUCUGAUGGAAAUAGAAGGAAUUACUCACUCUUUCAUCUUCCUAAACACAAACUGAAACAAAUAACAUUUUUGUCAAAGUUUUGCACCCUAGGGACUGAAACCUGCAGUGAAAAUAGCAUUGACCAGGGGGCUUAGAGAAGUAGAGAGUAAGGGAAAGACAGAAAGACUAGGGGGAGAAAGAGAGAGACAGACAGACAGACAGACAGAGAGACAGAGACAGAUAGAGGAAAGAGAAGAGAAGAGAGAAGAGAAGACAGAAGAGAGACAGUUUUAUUUUUAUUAACUUGUGUCAGACUCUAUGGGAAACAAAUCACGCUUAUUUGAAGUCCUUUGUAAACAUUUAAUAUUUAAUUUCUAUAGAUUGAGUUGUUUCAAAUGCUGUUGAAUGAUCUCUGGGAAGCCUGUAAACUCAUAUUAAAAUUGUAAAAAUUGGGUGUUGUAUGAUGAUUCUCCUGACGUGCAAGAUCUCAUCCCAGAUAUCUUUAUCAAGAAUUACUCUCAACCAUGUUCACAGCAUGUGACAAAGUGACUGCUAUGUUGUUCAUCAUCUGCUCACGAAGGGCUCUGUUUUGAAAGCAUCAGAUUUAGUGGCAAGUUAUUACUGUUAUAAAUGCAGUUUUGAUAAUUUAUUGCCAACUGUUUUCCCAGAAAUCACCAUCCACUGAUACGCCAUCCCUUCAGAUUUUCACAAAGCAACAGUGCAGGUACCUGGCCUGGGAGUCUCAGAAGAGCCCUUGGAAAUGCCACCUGACACUUUCAACAAAUUAUUUUCCCCCUUUUAGAACAGUUAAGCAGACAAUACAUAAAUGAAGUAUAUGCAUAUGCAACUUUUGUUAACAUUCAGUUUCUAGGCAGCUCAUUAAGAUCUGAAAUAUCUUGAUUCUAAAGCACAAGUUCAUAAGAAGCACGGCAAAGACCAGCAGAGCUGUGCAUAUGCAUGGACCACAACACCAGCCUAUCUGCAAGAAUUUGUCACUUUAAAGGAAAUAGCCAUAAAUCAUAAAAAAACUGUUACAAAAAGAAAUUCCAUCGCCUUAGAAAUUGCCCAUUUAUGUACAAUUUAGAAACUACAAUUUUUCCUAAGUAUCUGCAAGGGAUUGGUUUCAGGACCCCUAUGGAUACAAAUAUCUACAGAUGCUCAAGUCCCUUAUGUAAAAUGGCAUAGUAUUUGCAUACAACCUGCAAACAUUUUCCCUGUAUACGUUAAAUCAUCUCUAGAUUACUUAUAAUAGCUAAUACAAUGUAAAUGCUAUGUAAAUAGUGUUAUGCUGUAUUAUUCAUGGAAUAAUAGCCAGAAAAAAUUCUGAACAUUUUUAGUAUAGACACAACCAUCAAUUUUUAAUUUUCUGAAUAUUUUCAACCCUUGGUUGUUUGCAGAACCUACAGAUAUGAAGGACCAGCUGCAUUUUUUUUCUAUAUUCCUCAAACUGAGCUAUCAUUUUCACGAAUAAAAUCUGAUUUCAUAGAUUUACUGGGCAUAUAAUAUAGUGACCUAGCAAAAAAAAAA
Molecule: long non-coding RNA, 2790 nt
Organism: Macaca fascicularis (crab-eating macaque)
Lineage: Eukaryota; Metazoa; Chordata; Mammalia; Primates; Cercopithecidae
Source: Ensembl